This 422-nucleotide ribosomal RNA is filed under the name uncultured bacterium. RNAcentral describes it as "bacterial SSU rRNA". It matches the Rfam family "Bacterial small subunit ribosomal RNA", at positions 355 to 774 of the family's 1533-position model. The record is from RNAcentral.
UAAGGAAUAUUGGUCAAUGGAGGCAACUCUGAACUAGCCAUGCCGCGUGCAGGAAGACGGCCCUCUGGGUUGUAAACUGCUUUUAUUCGGGAAUAAACCUAUCUACGUGUAGAUAGCUGAAUGUACCGAAGGAAUAAGGAUCGGCUAACUCCGUGCCAGCAGCCGCGGUAAUACGGAGGAACCAAGCGUUAUCCGGAUUUAUUGGGUUUAAAGGGUGCGUAGGCGGCCUAUUAAGUCAGGGGUGAAAGACGGUAGCUCAACUAUCGCAGUGCCCUUGAUAAUGAUGGGCUUGAAUGAACUAGAGGUAGGCGGAAUGUGACAAGUAGCGGUGAAAUGCAUAGAUAUGUCACAGAACACCGAUUGCGAAGGCAGCUUACCAAGCAACAACUGACGCUCAUGCACGAAAGCGUGGGGAUCAAACA